GCCUACGGGACGCAGCAGUGAGGAAUAUUGGUCAAUGGGCUUACGCCUGAACCAGCCAAGUCGCGUGAGGGAAGACUGCCCUAUGGGUUGUAAACCUCUUUUGUCAGGGAGCAACGCCGGCUACAUGUAGCCGGACUGAGAGUACCCGCAGAAUAAGCAUCGGCUAACUCCGUGCCAGCAGCCGCGGUAAUACGGAGGAUGCGAGCGUUAUCCGGAUUUAUUGGGUUUAAAGGGUGCGUAGGCGGAUUUUUAAGUCAGCGGUAAAAUGUCCGGGCUCAACCCGGGCCGGCCGUUGAAACUGGGGG
RNAcentral lists this ribosomal RNA (305 nucleotides) under uncultured bacterium. Its description in RNAcentral is "bacterial SSU rRNA". It matches the Rfam family "Bacterial small subunit ribosomal RNA", at positions 337 to 639 of the family's 1533-position model. The record is from RNAcentral.